CCUACGGGAGGCAGCAGUGGGGAAUAUUGCACAAUGGGGGAAACCCUGAUGCAGCGACGCCGCGUGAGUGAAGAAGUAAUUCGUUACGUAAAGCUCUAUCAGCAGGGAAGAAACACUGACCUUACGGUCAGCAGACGGUACCUGAGUACGAAGCCCCGGCUAACUACGUGCCAGCAGCCGCGGUAAUCCGUAGGGGGCAAGCGUUAUCCGGAUUUACGGGGUGUAAAGGGAGCGUAGACGGUGCGCCAAGGCUGGAGUGAAAUGCCGCAGCUUAACUGCGGAACUGCUUGGGAAACUGGCGAAGUAGAGUGCGAGAGAGGUAAGCGGAAUUCCUAGUGUAGCGGUGAAAUGCGUAGAUAUUAGGAGGAACACCAGUGGCGAAGGCGGCUUACUGGACCGUAACUGACGUUGAGGCUCGAAAGCGUGGGGAGCAAACAGGAGUAGAUACCCCUGUAGUC
This 458-nucleotide ribosomal RNA is filed under the name uncultured bacterium. RNAcentral describes it as "partial 16S ribosomal RNA". It matches the Rfam family "Bacterial small subunit ribosomal RNA", at positions 338 to 795 of the family's 1533-position model. The record is from RNAcentral.